UCAGGCCUAACACAUGCAAGUCGAACGGUAACGCGGGGCAACCUGGCGACGAGUGGCGAACGGGUGAGUAAUGUAUCGGAACGUGCCCAGUAGUGGGGGAUAGCCCGGCGAAAGCCGGAUUAAUACCGCAUGAGACCUAUGGGUGAAAGCGGGGGAUCGCAAGACCUCGCGCUAUUGGAGCGGCCGAUAUCAGAUUAGGUAGUUGGUGGGGUAAAGGCCUACCAAGCCGACGAUCUGUAGCUGGUCUGAGAGGACGACCAGCCACACUGGGACUGAGACACGGCCCAGACUCCUACGGGAGGCAGCAGUGGGGAAUUUUGGACAAUGGGCGCAAGCCUGAUCCUGCAAGGCCGUGUGCGGGAAGAAGGCCUUCGGGU
RNAcentral lists this ribosomal RNA (377 nucleotides) under uncultured bacterium. Its description in RNAcentral is "bacterial SSU rRNA". It matches the Rfam family "Bacterial small subunit ribosomal RNA", at positions 43 to 423 of the family's 1533-position model. The record is from RNAcentral.